GAUGAAGAACGUAGCGAAAUGCGAUAAGUAAUGUGAAUUGCAGAAUUCAGUGAAUCAUCGAACCUUUGAACGCACAUUGCGCCCGCUGGUAUUCCGGCGGGCAUGCCUGUUCGAGCGUCAUUUCAACCCUCAAGCUCUCCGGAGUUUGGUGUUGGGGCGCCUGGGGCUUUUCGACCUCAGGGCCCUCAAGUCCAUCGGCGGGACCGCCAGGACACUGAGCGCAGUAGUAUUAUUUCGCUCGGUAGGAUCUUCCACGGCGGGUCGAUCUGGCCGCUAAACCCCCCAAUUCUCACCAAAGGUUGACCUCGGAUCAGGUAGGAAUACCCGCUGAACUUAAGCAUAUCAAUAAGCGGAGGA
This 357-nucleotide unclassified non-coding RNA is filed under the name soil metagenome. RNAcentral describes it as "partial contains 5.8S ribosomal RNA, internal transcribed spacer 2, and large subunit ribosomal RNA". The stretch from base 1 to 120 matches the Rfam family "5.8S ribosomal RNA", at positions 35 to 154 of the family's 154-position model. The record is from RNAcentral.